RNAcentral lists this small nuclear RNA (110 nucleotides) under Neogale vison (American mink). RNAcentral's name for it is "Neovison vison (American mink) U4 spliceosomal RNA (ENSNVIG00000016639.1)". The stretch from base 1 to 72 matches the Rfam family "U4 spliceosomal RNA". Rfam says of the family: U4 small nuclear RNA (U4 snRNA) is a component of the major U2-dependent spliceosome. The record is from RNAcentral. Lineage: Eukaryota; Metazoa; Chordata; Mammalia; Carnivora; Mustelidae.
AGCUUUGCGCAGUGGCAGUAUCGUAGCCAAUGAGGUUUAUCCGAGGCGCGAUUAUUGCUAAUUGAAACAAAUGGAGCCCAUGAUACAGUGGCUGAAGUCCAGCAAAAUGU